GCCUCAGUGGCGGAACUGGUAGACGCAAGGGAUUGGCACUCCCUGGGACUGUUGCAGAUCAUCCUCUGCAUGCCGUGCGGGUUCGACUCCCGCCUGGGGCACCA
RNAcentral lists this transfer RNA (104 nucleotides) under Gammaproteobacteria bacterium. RNAcentral's name for it is "tRNA-Ala". It matches the Rfam family "tRNA". Rfam says of the family: Transfer RNA (tRNA) molecules are approximately 80 nucleotides in length. Their secondary structure includes four short double-helical elements and three loops (D, anti-codon, and T loops). The record is from RNAcentral. Lineage: Bacteria; Pseudomonadati; Pseudomonadota; Gammaproteobacteria.